UCUGGAGGAAGGGCAAUCGAUCGCCAACAGCUACGCGGUUGUGGGCGGUAGGAAAGUCCAGGCAGCUCAAGGCAGGGUGGUCGUCGUAAGGCGGCACGCGAAAGCGCUAGAAAGUGCCACAGAGACAACGACUCAUCUUGGACCUAACCGGUCUAAGAAAGAGGGUGAAAAGAGGAAAACCUCCCCGCUGCAACCUCCGAAUGGGGCGUUUGCUUGCCUACGCAAGUAGAAGGUAGCCUUGCCGAGCCCCGAAGCUUGAGGGCAUAGAUUGAUGAUUGCCAUAAACAGAACCUGGCUUACUAUCCUCCGGAGCCA
Molecule: RNase P RNA, 315 nt
Filed under: Candidatus Woesebacteria bacterium RBG_16_41_13
Lineage: Bacteria; Candidatus Woeseibacteriota
Also listed under: 6 other names
Description: RNase P RNA component class A
Rfam family: Bacterial RNase P class A
About the family: Ribonuclease P (RNase P) is a ubiquitous endoribonuclease, found in archaea, bacteria and eukarya as well as chloroplasts and mitochondria. Its best characterised activity is the generation of mature 5'-ends of tRNAs by cleaving the 5'-leader elements of precursor-tRNAs. Cellular RNase Ps are ribonucleoproteins.
Source: RNAcentral